CCUACGGGAGGCAGCAGUGAGGAAUAUUGGUCAAUGGGCGCGAGCCUGAACCAGCCAAGUAGCGUGAAGGAUGACUGCCCUACGGGUUGUAAGCAUCUUUUAUAAAGGAAUAGAGUGAGGCACGUGUGCCUUUUUGUAUGUACUUUAUGAAUAAGAGUCGGCUAACUCCGUGCCAGCAGCCGCGGUAAUACGGAGGAUCCGAGCGUUAUCCGGAUUUAUUGGGUUUAAAGGGAGCGUAGAUGGGUUGUUAAGUCAGUUGGGAAAGUUUGCGGCUCAACCGUAAAAUUGCAAUUGAUACUGGCAGUCUUGAGUACAGUUGAGGUGGGCGGAAUUCGUGGUGUAGCGGUGAAAUGCUUAGAGAUCACGAAGAACUCCGAUGGCGAAGGCAGCUUACUAAACGGCCACUGACAUUGAGGCUCGAAAGUGUGGGUAUCAAACAGGAUUAGAUACCCUAGUAGUC
This 460-nucleotide ribosomal RNA is filed under the name uncultured bacterium. RNAcentral describes it as "partial 16S ribosomal RNA". It matches the Rfam family "Bacterial small subunit ribosomal RNA", at positions 338 to 795 of the family's 1533-position model. The record is from RNAcentral.